AGAACGAACGCUGGCGGCAUGCCUAACACAUGCAAGUCGAACGAGACCUUCGGGUCUAGUGGCGCACGGGUGCGUAACGCGUGGGAAUCUGCCCAAAGGUUCGGAAUAACAGUUAGAAAUGACUGCUAAUACCGGAUAAUGUCGCAAGACCAAAGAUUUAUUGCCUUUGGAUGAGCCCGCGUAGGAUUAGCUUGUUGGUGGGGUAAAAGCCUACCAAGGCGACGAUCCUUAGCUGGUCUGAGAGGAUGAUCAGCCACACUGGGACUGAGACACGGCCCAGACUCCUACGGGAGGCAGCAGUGGGGAAUAUGGACAAUGGGCGAAAGCCUGAUCCAGCAAUGCCGCGUGAGUGAUGAAGGCCUUAGGUUGUAAAGCUCUUUACCGGGAUGAUAAUGACAGUACCGGAGAAUAAGCUCCGGCUAACUCCGUGCCAGCAGCCGC
This 441-nucleotide ribosomal RNA is filed under the name uncultured soil bacterium. RNAcentral describes it as "bacterial SSU rRNA". It matches the Rfam family "Bacterial small subunit ribosomal RNA", at positions 26 to 518 of the family's 1533-position model. The record is from RNAcentral.